AUUGAACGCUGGCGGCAUGCUUUACACAUGCAAGUCGAACGGUAACAGGCCGCCAGGUGCUGACGAGUGGCGAACGGGUGAGUAAUGCAUCGGAACGUGCCCAGUCGUGGGGGAUAACUACUCGAAAGAGUAGCUAAUACCGCAUACGAUCUAUGGAUGAAAGCGGGGGACCGUAAGGCCUCGCGCGAUUGGAGCGGCCGAUGUCAGAUUAGGUAGUUGGUGGGGUAAAGGCUCACCAAGCCAACGAUCUGUAGCUGGUCUGAGAGGACGACCAGCCACACUGGGACUGAGACACGGCCCAGACUCCUACGGGAGGCAGCAGUGGGGAAUUUUGGACAAUGGGCGCAAGCCUGAUCCAGCAAUGCCGCGUGCAGGAAGAAGGCCUUCGGGUUGUAAACUGCUUUUGUACGGAACGAAACGGCUCUGGUUAAUACCCGGGGAUAAUGACGGUACCGUAAGAAUAAGCACCGGCUAACUACGU
Molecule: ribosomal RNA, 481 nt
Filed under: uncultured bacterium
Lineage: Bacteria
Description: partial 16S ribosomal RNA
Rfam family: Bacterial small subunit ribosomal RNA
Source: RNAcentral